AAUCCUGGCUCAGAUUGAACGCUGGCGGCAUGCCUAACACAUGCAAGUCGAACGGUAACAGGUCUUCGGAUGCUGACGAGUGGCGGACGGGUGAGUAAUGCGUAGGAAUCUGUCUUUUAGUGGGGGACAGCCCAGGGAAACUUGGGCUAAUACCGCAUGAGCCCUGAGGGGGAAAGCGGGGGAUCUUCGGACCUCGCGCUAAGGGAGGAGCCUACGUCUGAUUAGCUAGUUGGUAGGGUAAAGGCCUACCAAGGCGACGAUCGGUAGCUGGUCUGAGAGGACGACCAGCCACACUGGGACUGAGACACGGCCCAGACUCCUACGGGAGGCAGCAGUGGGGAAUUUUUCGCAAUGGGGGCAACCCUGACGAAGCUUGCCGCGUGGAUGAAGAAGGCCUUCGGGUUGUAAAGUCCUUUCGUGGAGGACGAAAAGGCAGGUGCUAACAUCAUUUGCUGUUGACGUGAAUCCAAGAAGAAGCACCGGCUAACUCCGUGCCAGCAGCCGCGGUAAUACGGGGGGUGCAAGCGUUAAUCGGAAUCACUGGGCGUAAAGGGUGCGUAGGCGGUACAUUUAGGUCUGUCGUGAAAUCCCUGGGCUCAACCUGGGAAUGGCGGUGGAAACCGGUGAACUAGAGUAUGGGAGAGGGUGGUGGAAUUCCAGGUGUAGCGGUGAAAUGCGUAGGGAUCUGGAGGUACAUCUGUGGUAAAG
This 708-nucleotide ribosomal RNA is filed under the name uncultured Gammaproteobacteria bacterium. Its description in RNAcentral is "bacterial SSU rRNA". It matches the Rfam family "Bacterial small subunit ribosomal RNA", at positions 15 to 720 of the family's 1533-position model. The record is from RNAcentral. Lineage: Bacteria; Pseudomonadati; Pseudomonadota; Gammaproteobacteria.